GGAGGUACUAGCCUCUGGAGAGGCCCCUCCUCUUGGAGAAGGCCUCCUGGCUAGAAUCCUGGUUUAAUCUACCUCUGGGCUCCCUUUGCUGGGGCCUCUGAAGCCCUGCCUGGUUCACACCAGGCCUGAGUAAUUAUCUACUUUCUCUCAUUUCCUUACUUUCCCUCUUUCCCUCUAUUUCAUAAAUAAAUUGCUAUAAAGUCAUUCUGACUUGAGUAAUAAUGUCGGCAACCACAUUUUUAUACAUUUAGUCCAACCAUUUUAUUUUAACCCUUACAAAGCAUAUGACAAAAUAUAUAGAAAGUUCUUUGCCAACCUAAAAGCACUCUAUAAAUGCUAGCUGUUCUUUUUUUCCAGUUUUUCUUUAUUUUUUUCAGUUACAUACAGAACUAUUUUUUGACAAUUGUUUUUGGACAUUUUAGAAUUCAGAUUUUCUCCCUCCUUCCCCUUAUCCCUCUCCAAGGUGAUGAGUAGUCUGAUAUGAAUGAGUUAUAUCCAUAUUUUUAUGUAAUGCAUAUUUCCAUAUUGUUCAUGUCACAUAUCACACAUGCAAUAGAAAUCUCAUGAAGGAAAUACAGUGGAAGAUGGCAUGCUUUGAGCUUCCUCAGACUCCAACAGUUCCUUGCUUGCAUGGCAUUUUCCUCAUGAGUCCCUUGCGGUUAUCUUGGAGGCUUGCUUUGCUGGCAGUGGUUUAGUCCUUCACAGUUGAUCAUCGAAUAAUAUUUCUGUCAUCAUAUAUAGUGUUCUCCUGGUUCUGCUCACUUUGCAUCAGUUCAUAGAGGUCUUUCCAGGCUUCUCCAAACUCUUCCUGCCCAUCAUUUCUUACAGCACAAUCGUAUUCCGUUAUAAUCACAACUUGGUCAUCCAUCCCCCAAGUGAUGGGCAGCUCCUCACAUUUUGAUUCUUUGUCACCACAAAAAGAGAAGAUGCUCAUGAUGAGGACUGGACCAGUUUAUGUGUGACCAUGUGAACUAGGAAAGGUGUCCCUCACCAACAUGAGUUGGCAGCAAGAGACAACUGGAACUGAUAACAGUAGCUGAGCUCAGGGAGAAAUGUGGAUGGACCUAUCCACGAGAUACAAGUCCUUUAAGGGAGUAACUUAUCCACCAGACAUGACACAUCCAUCUGUGAGGCCUCAUCGAGGGGAGAAAAAGAUGCCCUGGGUCAAGAACUGAAAGGUACCCCUUAGCCUCAUAUUUCCUAUAUUUCUUUUCUAGCUCUUUUUGCUUCAAAUUUGAACUCACUUUCCUUAGGGACUGAAUGUAUAUGCAAGGAGGAGAGCUCACUCCCCUUUCAGAGGAUUUUUAAAA
RNAcentral lists this long non-coding RNA (1310 nucleotides) under Monodelphis domestica (gray short-tailed opossum). RNAcentral's name for it is "lncRNA (ENSMODG00000037964.1)". The record is from RNAcentral. Lineage: Eukaryota; Metazoa; Chordata; Mammalia; Didelphimorphia; Didelphidae.